GAACCGGAGCUAAUACCGGAUAAUAUAUUGAACCGCAUGGUUCAAUAGUGAAAGACGGUUUUGCUGUCACUUAUAGAUGGAUCCGCGCUGCAUUAGCUAGUUGGUAAGGUAACGGCUUACCAAGGCAACGAUGCGUAGCCGACCUGAGAGGGUGAUCGGCCACACUGGAACUGAGACACGGUCCAG
RNAcentral lists this ribosomal RNA (186 nucleotides) under uncultured Staphylococcus sp. Its description in RNAcentral is "partial 16S ribosomal RNA". It matches the Rfam family "Bacterial small subunit ribosomal RNA", at positions 154 to 334 of the family's 1533-position model. Lineage: Bacteria; Bacillati; Bacillota; Bacilli; Caryophanales; Staphylococcaceae. The record is from RNAcentral.